ACGGUGACCCUUGAGGUAAAUAGGAAACCGUCUGUGAUUCUGACUUGCUUUUUUUUCUUUCGAACCGUGCUCAACCCUCAAAGAUUUUUCUAGACAAAACUGCACAUUAGCUAGAUUGCUUCACACUGUGUUCUGAUGACAUGAAGUCUGUGAUCCUCCAAAAGUUACAUCAGCCCGCUUCCAGACAUAGCAAAGGGCUAGAUGUUCCCAGCCUGGAAAGACCUAUGGGCUGGAAAACGCUGUAGGAAGGGCAGCAGCCAUGUUACACUGCAAACCCUCAUGCCACAGCCCUACCGCUUUGCUGAACUGGAGCUGUAGAGGUAGCGCUGCUCCUGUAAGCUCUGUCCCUGCUUUCCUCCUCUAUUUUCUAUGGUCUUUUGCUCACAAUCACAGCUUCUUGCCUUCAAGAAGUUCUCAAUCUAGCAAAGAAAUUGUAUAUGUGCAUGUCUUUAAGGACGCAGGAGCUUCUGCUGGCAGUUGUGGACCUGUCUGCAUGUUGGGCUCAGCUCUCUGGCUCUGCACUGAAAGUACCUGGCAUCAUUCUGUUGUUUGUGAAAACUAAAAGUAGCAAUAGUUGCAGCUGUUAAGAUUGUAUUGAUCAAUAAUAGGCCUAAGUAGAAAACGUGAAUCUACCUAUAAAAACUCUGGCAUACAGUGCUUUUCAGGUACCUGACUAUUUUGUGGGGAGAUGCAUAAGGCCAGACUAGUUUCAAAACCUGCAAAUCGGACACAAUCCAGACUUAUAUUCAUUCUUACAUAAGAAAGCAUAACCCUUCCUUGGAGUGAGGGAAUGUUCCCACAAAGAGCCCAGGUUUUAUCCUCUUCUUACACUAGCUCUGUGGUUAACAAAUGCAAGCUGAAAUACCCGAUGUCUGUAAUACGUCCCCUCAAAACACCCGACAUUUAAAUGUUGCCUGAUUCACAAAAGUUUUGCUCAGGAAUCCAGUGAUCGUAGCUGAUAAAAGGCACAAGGAAUUCCUUUCACAAGGACCUGAACCACAGAUGGUUAUGUGAUUUGAGGGCCACUGAUCAUCGACAGUUUUACCAACUGAAUCAGAAUUACGGAAACACCUGCAUGACUGCAUCUGCAGACUCAGCUAAAUUAUGCUUCUAUCCAGCCACAUAAUAUCUAAUGUGUAAUUCUUCUGCAUUUUAAUCAAAUGCAUUGUAAUGUCAGUACAAAAUUUCAAUAUGAAUGCACCUUAAUGUUGGAGUAACUAAUAGCUGCCAUCCAUUAGUACCAGUUAGGAGACACACUUCCUACUAGGCAACAGGGGCAUGGUUAUUUUAACUCAUUACCUGCUUUGUAAAUGACAUUUAAUUGCACAUGAAGAGGGGAUGUUCACAGGACACUACUGGGAAUGCAAGACUGAGCACCCAAAAGUUAGCAAACGUUUGAAAGAAGGUUGCAGAGUGGUGUUCAUGAACCCCCUGCACAGUGAGACAGUCUGUGCACUCUGCCCAAAUGGUGCCUGUUCCCUAUAAAACCCGCAGUGAGUUUAGCAGCUUAAUGCUAGAAAACUUCUGCUGAGCAUGGCCAAACUCUGAGUUUGUAAAGGCUUUUCAGAUGUGAUGGAUUUUUGAGGCUACCGUAAAGCAUUUCUUAAGAAACAGAUGAUGGGCCAGUCUCCUAGUUGUUGCUUUCGAACAACGAUGUCAUCAGAGCUUUUCAAGGACAAACUACCAGAACAGUAACACUGAAACAUUUGUUUUCUAGCACCUUUCUUGGAGAUAGAUGAAUUAGUCUGGAUAAAAGUUUUCCAGAAAGAAAUCAGCCUGACGAAAACAUGAAUUUUGGAAAAUGUCCUCUAAUGGCUAAUACCUGGCAAAGUUAUGACCACUGAAAAUCAACCUUUAAAGCAGGAAGCACUGGUCAACCUUGGGCAACGGCUAACGCUGCCCAAGUUUCACUGCUUGCUGAAAUUGCUGAAUGUGUCGUUUGGCUCUGUUCUGAGAUGUGCCUCCAGUUUAGCCUUCAGAAGUGAGUCCCAGUGCCCACAGGACUGAAUUCAAGACUUCUGCUCUGGUACAAGGUUCUGCCCGCAAUGUAGCUGGUGGGAUUGGGGCCAGAUCUUCUGGAAGACAGAUGUUGUCGUUCCAUGGUACUCUGUUAUCGGCUUGUUCAUGCUCCUAGUACCAUUAGAGAAAGCCUGAAAGCAUGGAGUGAGGUAGAAAGUGAAGAUUUUAAGUAAAUUCAUUCCUGAAAUGCUGGGUAUUGAAACACAGUGCUUCCUGCCCAUGUUUGACUUUACUUUAGUUCAUUGGUCCCUAGUGCACCCAGAAUUACAGCUCAGUAAACAUCUUCAAGGAUCAUACAUUUUAAAAAAAAACAACCCUCCAGAAUCUCAAAGUGUGGCUUAAAGGCAGAAAAUCUCCUAGCAGAAAAGAGAUUGAGAGAACACAUCUUGACUUGGUCAUUUCCCCUUUCAGAUGUGGACACAUGUUCAUUACAAAUUACACUGAAAUCAGUAAUUAUUUUCAUAUGGUUAGCAAAUAAUAAUGAUUCAACAUUUGCAUGUCCCUGAAUUGCAGUGGAGUGGGAUUACAGAUGGUACAAGAUGCAUCAGUCUUACAAAACAUAUUGAAGACUUCAACUUCAUGACGGAAAGUGUUCUGUCAUCACUUAACUUAUAUGCACGUGAAUACCAGCAUAGUGGGGAGUCUGCAGUUAUGAGAACCACUAAAGAUACGACAAACAGGUACACAGAAAUAAAAUGUAAAUGCUCAAAGUUACCUUAGCUUUCCAUUUGUUUUCAUAAGUACUGAAUGUUAAAGCUCCCACCAUCCUGCCUAGACAGAGCCACAGACAGAACCCAAACAUCCAAGUCCCAAUUCACACCUUAAAAAAACCUGCCCUUUCUACAGUGGAGAGGCUUAACUGUAUACUGUUGCAUGGCAAACAGCAGGGAAUACACAGAAUAAAGCUACUUUACGCAAUAACAUUAGAUUCCAUUUCGUGUCUAUGAAGUAUUUACUCCGAGCCUGCAAACCCCACUGAGCAGCUCCCAUAUGAAAGAUUGAGAAGGAAAGGGAGGUUGCAUUUGGUGGUCCUGUUAAGGGCAGUGAUUUCUAAUAACAGCAAUGUUUGCUGUGAGUGAUCUGGAUCAACAUCAAAAAAACCCCCAUCUAGUCAAGUGCCCAGCAAGGGGUCUAUUCUCAUGUCCAUGCUCAUAUGUUAAGUCCCAUUGACAAGCAUUAGUGGGAACUGCAUGCACAUAUGGAUAUGUGAAUAGCCCUAAUGGGAGCUGCAUAAAGUAGUGUUCGACUAUACAGAGAUCACUUCAAUCGCCAAGAUAAAAUAAUCUAGGGGGAGAAGCCUUAAAGAAUGCUGUGAAAAAAACAAAUAAUUUAAAGAAAUUGAUAAAUAAUGGAGGUUAAAAAUGAAACAGUAAAAUAAAACCAGGAUUAGAAUCUAUUCUUUGAACUAAAUAGUAAAUGAGAAAUAGCUUUUAGAAGUUAACCCUGGCCAAAAUUUAAAGAAAUGGCUGAUAACUCGGUUCUCUAAUUUUUAGAGCCUCUUUGUCUUACUGUGACUCUAUAUUCUAAAUAGAAACGAGAGAUGCAGCAAAAAGAUCUUACUGACAAGACAUGAGUUAAGAAAAGCACUGGUAAGCAUUGCUCUGCUGAAGAACAGGGUACAUGAAAUAGUGGCAGCUCUGCGAUAGGUCAAUGAUAAUGAUGCUUCUGAGGUUAUACAACACCGACAGCCACCCUAUAAAUGUCAAAGCCUUGCAGAAACUCCCUAAGAAAGGUUUUCUGCUACCUGAAAAGCCUCCAGCAGCCAGUCUGCUGGACAACAGACACCUCUGAAGAGUUUGUUCUCUUUCUGCAGGCAAUCUUCAGGUUUUUCCCUGAAGCCACUGCCUAGUUCAAAAUCCCAUCGUGAUUUGGAGAACUGUUCUUACUUAUACUUACAUAGCUGAAACAACAAAACCUUUCCUGACAGCCACACAUAAAUAGGUGUAAUGAACAAUGAAAUCAUCAAUUAAUAGAGCAGACAGCAAUCACUGCUGAAGAGUUUUAAGACAGUGACAAGCGCCUAUAUUAAGAGCCUAAAUUGGUGGGAUAUGGAGUGGAUGAUAAGUAACAUGUGUAAGUCAGGUCUAAUUGUGACCAAGAUCACCGGUUUCCUUACCUUGUUCUGGUGCCCAUAGCGGAAUGCAACCACCUGAAUGGCAAGUUAUCGCAGAGUCCUGUGUGUCUACGUAUGUCUCACUGGCUUCAGACUGUGGUCCAAACUGUUCCAGCAAUACUGCUUUGGAACAUCCGGAGGUGAAGCAAUCCAUAUGACUGACAGUGAAAGCUCUUAUCUCACAAGUUGUCCUUUUCCAGUGGUCAUUUAGACCAAGAGUCAACCAAUUAAUCAUGGUAAACCAAAGCCUGUUGGGUCCCUGCUGGCCAAAGCACUUGAGAAGACAAAAGAUAUCAUGUUCCAGCUGACACCUGCAAGUAAUUACACAUGGCGACAGCAGUGGGUGAAAAAACAAAUUGAGAACCGAUGCUAAGAAGAGAGAUGCAUUUCUUUUUUGUAUAGACUGAACUAUUAUCUGAUCUCCAAGAGCCUGAGGGUCUUAGAAAUCAAAGGCAAAUUAGGUGAGAUAAAGAAAAUCCGUUGCCAGGUGUUCACUUGGAAAAUGAUAAAUCUCCAGUGAUUUUCACCAGUGCUAGGAGCUGAUUCCACUUCUCAGAUGAUACUGUAUUUUAUGAGGCUAUUUUACCAGGCUAGUGGCAGAGGGCAACUGCUCCACACAGAACAGAAUCUGGAGGCCUGCUCUUCCCAGAGUCUCGUCUCUACCUACCAACAGAUCUUUCAAUCUGUCUCCAAUGUUUUUGGAUAUCAGGACACAUAUGAUGCGUAGCAAAGACAGGCAUGAGUUUUUAGGAGAAGCUAAAAUAUGGUGGCUGACCCUUUGCUGAAAACCUUGUGAAGAAAAGAGGAAAGAAGAUGAGAAGAUGGCUCCUCCUCUGAAGAGUACAAGAUGACUGCAGCCAGAUUUCUGCUUCUGGAAGAUAACCUAUCCCCAUCAGAUUUCUUCCUAUUGAAAGAAAAGAGGAAGACCAAUUUAUGUUCACAGAUUGAGAAAUAAGUCGCCUUCACGUCAUACCAUCACAUGCUGGAUCUAUCAGUUAUUUUAAAGAUAAAGAAGUUCCUCCGAUUACUUCCUUCCCAGAAAACCAUUUCAGCUCGUGUUUCACUUUAAGCUUCUGAGUCAAUCAGUGGGACAAUUUGCUGCUUAGAGUUGAUUAUUAGCAUCACUGCAAGCCCAAAAGGCAGGUCAUCAGCCACUGGAUCGAUCUCUGCCUAAGUCCCUGAGACUAUCUAGCUGUCCAGGCUUUGCCAUCACUGACAUUUCGAUGUCCCCCAAACUUUUGGCAUUUGAGUUAUCAAUUAAUAAUGCUGCUCAGUGUCUUUUUUGCUUUGGCUUGUUAUGUGUCUCUUGUAUGUACAAGUUGUAGUAGUUAUGGUGCAGAUACAUAGACUGAAAAACCAUCAAUUACUUUCUUCACUUAUAUAUAUGGCCGAUGAAUAAAAUGCAUGCAUUUCAUAGAGGUUUGUACUGAAAUUGCCCUGAAGAACAGCACUCUCUGGGAAACCACCAGGACCACCUGGGGGCACAUUUACCUUGCAGUUGGUGGAGCAUGUGAGGGAAGGCCAGACCCUAGGCUGUAAACCCCAGCUAGCUACAGACAGUUGAGAGGCUGCCUCAAGUAAAUAAUUCGGAGAUGGAUACACACAAAAAAGUGCCACGUCUUCAUGCAUCACACGAAGCAUUGUCAGCUCUACUGAGUGGAGUUACUUUGCAGAGCUUGACUCAAUCACCUGAGCUGAGAUUUUACAGAUGAAUCUUAGCAUAGACUGAAAAUGUUAUAACCAUAUAGAACAGCAUCUUCCCAGGAGCAUCCUUCUCUGGGGAAAAAAAGCCUGAUCCUCACCAGCUGUACAUGCCAGUGCUGCUCCCGCAGAGGAAGAGGGCUGCUGAUCCACAACAGGGAUGGCUGGAAAGACCAGAGGGAGCAGUAGGGGAGACCUGAGCAUGAAAAUAUUUCAUAUUGGAUCUGGUUACAUCCAUCUGUAAAAUUAGUAACAACACAGACACCUGGUAGUUAGGUUUCGCAGGCUAAUAAAUAUGUUUAAGGGCAGAAAGGAUUCUGCUGAGCCUUUACUCUGACCUCCUGCACAAAAUCAGUCUAUGCUAUUUGAUUUUAUAGAGUUUAGCUCCCAGCUUUCAUUAGGGGCUCGCAGGUCAUUAGGGUAGGCUGAACUGUGCUUUGUCUGAACUUAGAUGUGAGACCCCCGAGAACAUCCUAGAGCUGAAAGAAAUGGGAUGAGGCCCCUACUUUUCUCUUCCUUCUGCAUUACGCUGAGCUGUACUUGGAGGCACCGCAUGGUGGUAUCGUAGAGUCUUGAAAUAGUUUCUGUUUGUUCAUGGUUUUGGCAGUUGUUGAACUUUUCAGUGGGGUGAGAGCGGAACAGGUUUGUAGGAUGCAGAGAGCACAUAUACACGUUUGGGAACUGCUGUGGUGGGUUUGUACGGCCAGAGCGGCAGGAAGCUGCGUGAGCAGCAGGACGAGUGAUCGUCAGCGUUUCCUAUGGGAAUCAAUUGCUGAGGCAGCUUAAGAAAAAGAGGUUUGGGGUGAAGUUUCAGCCUAAUAUUCUGUCUGCGACUCCCUCCUAUCCAGGACUGUCUUAUUCAUACUGUGAAUAAACAGACUUCCAGGUAGAAGAUGCCCAGAGCUGGGGUCACUGCUGCUUUACCAGAAAGCAGAGGCAGAGCUCUGAGGAAUCAGCUAUUUCGUGCCAGGUGGCAGGCAAGGGGUGACAGAUCUACUGCUAGGGGGCUGUCUUUUGGUGGUUUUGUAUAGCUCCAUCAGCACAUAAACUCUAUCUUUUAAAAUAAUACGUUAUUGGAGAUAUACGAAUGCGUGAUAUUCGCACACCUGGCCUGGGUCUGGAGAGCCCACAAAAUGUGUUAGACUUGUUAUUACUUGAUUAUUCCUUUGCACAGGUGUACAUUCCCGCUCCCAAAUGCUUAUGAAACGUCUCUGCUGAUGUACAUAGACUCACAGCGUUGAAGGCUAGAGAAAGCCGCUUGAUAUAUGACAACUCAUUGUGUGCUAUUGCCCCUGCAUUAAAGACAUUAACUUGGUUUUGAUUA
Harpia harpyja (harpy eagle) is the source of this 7157-nucleotide long non-coding RNA. RefSeq lists it as uncharacterized. The record is from RefSeq and is a predicted model, not a curated record. Lineage: Eukaryota; Metazoa; Chordata; Aves; Accipitriformes; Accipitridae. The transcript is spliced from 2 exons.